AACUAAGUAGCUUAUGGGAGAGCAUUACAUUGAAGCUGUAAAGGUGCUAUUUUAGCCGUAGUUA
This 64-nucleotide transfer RNA is filed under the name Plaxiphora albida. Its description in RNAcentral is "tRNA-Phe". It matches the Rfam family "tRNA". From Rfam's summary of the family: Transfer RNA (tRNA) molecules are approximately 80 nucleotides in length. Their secondary structure includes four short double-helical elements and three loops (D, anti-codon, and T loops). Lineage: Eukaryota; Metazoa; Mollusca; Polyplacophora; Chitonida; Mopaliidae. The record is from RNAcentral.